This is a long non-coding RNA of Sphaerodactylus townsendi, 2075 nucleotides long. RefSeq lists it as uncharacterized. The record is from RefSeq and is a predicted model, not a curated record. The transcript is spliced from 2 exons. Lineage: Eukaryota; Metazoa; Chordata; Lepidosauria; Squamata; Sphaerodactylidae.
UUUACUCCUUUAUCUUUGCUCCUUGUUACUUUUUUUUAAAAAAAAAACCUCUCUUAAAUGGCUUUCUUUUCUUUUCCCAGUGCUCAAUUUCUCUUCCAUACUUCCACCUUUCCAACAGAGAUAAACAGGAUAAGUUUAAUGAAGGCUGUUUUACUUUCUUCUGUGUUAAAUUUUGUUUUCAUUUGAUGGCAACUUUUUUUCAACAAAGGCAUAUAAUUUUCUUUCGUUCUUUCUUUCUGUCUUUUUUUCUUUCACAGCUUGUCAGGCUACUCUUGCCCGGGAACUAUGCAUAACUGACCAAAAUACAGGGUCUAGUACAAUGGGAGCUCCAUCUUCACUGAGUUCUUUAGGUAUAGCCACAAAACAAAACUAAUAAAUAACACAGCUGUAAUAAGAUGCCUUCUCUGCCAUUGCAGUUGACUUGUCUUAACAGCUUGUGAGGAAAAAUUAAUUGUGUUGCUUUCAGACCUUGUUUCAUAAUCAUCAUUGGUACCUCCUAUCCAGUGUUGUGUUCUUUGUAUGAAAAUGAGCAUACUCAUGUUUCUCACUACAUAUACACAUACAUCACCAACUGAUGAGACAGCUAUUGUGCAACAUAAUUCUCAUGCAGUAUCUUGGCAGCUAACUGGAAAUGUGGUAUCAUCUGGAUCUGUCAUAUGCUGGACCCCUAUUUUCCUCAACACUGUGGUUUGAAAGGUCAGUCAGAAACAGCAAUCUCCAGAAAUUAUUCUAAGAGGCAGCUCCUGUCAAGAGUAAAAACCAGUAGGGUUCUCCUUUGUAUUUACCAAGUGUUACCUAAUUUUUAGCCAUGGUCUGAAUGCCCAGGCUAGUCUAAGCUCAUCAGAUCUCUGAAGCUAAGCAGAGUUGGUCUUGCUUUGUACUUAGAGGGAGACCACCAAGGAAUAGCAGAGUCAUUAUGCAGAGGAAUGCAAUGGCAAACUACUUCUGUUAAUUUCAUGCUUUGAAACCCCUGAUGGUUGUCAUAGGUUGGCUGUGUCUUGACGGCACUUCACACACAGAAAUCCCACUCUUGGCCUAUAGCUGUUCAUCAAUUUCCAAAAUCUGGAUUCUGCCUGGUUUUUUAUAAGUGUGAGCCAAUCUCCAAGGAUGUGAAGGGUUUGAUCCACCACAUUAUGUGGUAAGUGUAGCAAAUGAAAUCUCAUGGAUUCCUACACAUAAUAAUUAUACAUAGAGAAAUAUAGUAUAUGGGUAGUCCUUUAUGUCUCUGACAAUUUCUUUCCUGCUGAUAGAUGGCAAAAGGUUGCCUCUAUAACAGAGGAAACUAAAGAGAAAAAAUCCCCCUCAAUUUCUUUUAUACCAAAGUUUUUUUAAAAAAAGUAUAGUGGUGAAAUGACUUGCUGUAGAAAAGAAAAUGUCACAGCACAGAGUAGAUUGAACACACAGCGGUUCAUAAGGGCUUGCACAAAGAUUGUCUUUAAAGUUCCUUGUCUCUUGUUGUUAUACAUUUCACCUGAACUUCUCAACUGUGUCUGCAGUGUUUUUUCUCCUGACAUGUUCUGUUGUCAGAAUCUCCAAGUACCUUGAAAGAAAGAUCCAUGAGUUCUGUUGUCCUUCAUUCCACCGGAGUCUGUCUCAUAACUAAUCAGAUUUCAGUGGAGUGAAGCACAAGAGACAUGGAGUUGAAUCAGCUGAAAAGAGGAACUCCAUCACUCUCACUCCAGUGGGAAAAAAGUGUUCUAAGGAAGUAAACAGGAUAAGUGAGCUGUCCUAAUAGGAAAAGGUUGUGUGGAGGGGGGGGGGGGGUGACAGAAACUAGAAAAGUAGAAGCCAGUGAACAUUUUAAUGUUCUGCUUGUGUUUACAAAACUUUUGGAUAAAACUGUUUUUGAAAAUGUACUUGAAUUCUGCUUGAUGUGUAAAGUUUGUUGCUUUUGUUUUGAGACAAAGUCUUUGAUGGACUGCAAGCUGCUUCCUUGAGAAGAUAAUUACCACAUUAGAAUAAAAUUAUCAGGAAUUUGAUAUUUAAAUAUUUAAAUCCAUCUUUUUCUGUGAUCUGUUGUCUUGGGCCGUUUCUGCAUGGCACAAUUAUACCAGAUAAAAAUCAGUAUCUUACAA